UACGAGGGGUGCAAGCGUUAUUCGGAAUCAUUGGGCGUAAAGGGUGCGUAGACGGCAGAUUAAGUCAACUGUUAAAUUCCUCGGCCUAACCGAGGGUGAGCGGUAGAUACUGGUCCGCUAGAGGAUGGAAGAGAGAAGUGGAAUUCUCGGAGUAGCGGUAAAAUGCGUAGAUCUCGAGAGGAACACCAAUGGCGAAGGCAGCUUCUUGGUCCACUCCUGACGUUGAGGCACGAAAGCGUGGGUAGCAAACAGG
This 253-nucleotide ribosomal RNA is filed under the name uncultured bacterium. RNAcentral describes it as "partial 16S ribosomal RNA". It matches the Rfam family "Bacterial small subunit ribosomal RNA", at positions 524 to 776 of the family's 1533-position model. The record is from RNAcentral.